RNAcentral lists this ribosomal RNA (481 nucleotides) under uncultured bacterium. RNAcentral's name for it is "bacterial SSU rRNA". It matches the Rfam family "Bacterial small subunit ribosomal RNA", at positions 903 to 1397 of the family's 1533-position model. The record is from RNAcentral.
AAAUGAAUAGACGGGGCCCCGCACAAGCAGCGGAGCGUGUGGUUUAAUUCGAUGUUACACGAAGAACCUUACCAGGGUUUGACAUGCAAGUGGUAGGAAACCGAAAGGUGACCGACCCUUCGGGGAGCUUGCACAGGUGCUGCAUGGCUGUCGUCAGCUCGUGUCGUGAGAUGUUCGGUUAAGUCCGCUAACGAGCGCAACCCUCACUGUGUGUUAUAUGUGUCACACGGGACCGCCGGUCUUAAGCCGGAGGAAGGUGGGGAUGACGUCAAGUCAGCAUGGCCUUUAUAUCCUGGGCUACACACACGCUACAAUGGCCAACACAAUAGGUCGCUAAGCCGCGAGGUGGAGCCAAUCCAUAAAGUUGGUCUCAGUUCAGAUUGCAGGCUGCAACCCGCCUGCAUGAAGAUGGAGUUGCUAGUAACCGCAGGUCAGCUAUACUGCGGUGAAUACGUUCCCGGGGCUUGUACACACCGCCCGU